RNAcentral lists this ribosomal RNA (309 nucleotides) under uncultured bacterium. RNAcentral's name for it is "bacterial SSU rRNA". It matches the Rfam family "Bacterial small subunit ribosomal RNA", at positions 504 to 812 of the family's 1533-position model. The record is from RNAcentral.
CGUGCCAGCAGCCGCGGUAAUACGAAGGGGGCUAGCGUUGUUCGGAUUUACUGGGCGUAAAGGGUGCGUAGGCGGAUUGUUAAGUCAGGGGUGAAAUCCCGAGGCUCAACCUCGGAACUGCCUUUGAUACUGGCGAUCUUGAGUCUGGGAGAGGUGAGUGGAACUGCGAGUGUAGAGGUGAAAUUCGUAGAUAUUCGCAAGAACACCGGUGGCGAAGGCGGCUCACUGGCCCGGUACUGACGCUGAGGCACGAAAGCGUGGGGAGCAAACAGGAUUAGAUACCCUGGUAGUCCACGCCUUAAACGAUGA